GGGACUCAAUGUGUGUGUGUGUGUGUGUGUGUGUGUGUGUGUGUGUGUUUCCUCACAGGCACAUGUGCAUGAGUACAAACACACACCC
This is a microRNA precursor of Erinaceus europaeus (western European hedgehog), 88 nucleotides long. The record is from Ensembl. NCBI's taxonomy places the organism in Eukaryota, Metazoa, Chordata, Mammalia, Eulipotyphla, Erinaceidae.